UGUUUUAGAAGAGAAGCAUUUAUUAGAUAAAAAACCAAUAUAUGUUUUUAAAGCAUAAAAAUUGGUGAUUUACAAUAACUAAGCAAAUCGCACAGUGCAAACUGGCGAUAAAUCAUUCAAGUUUCUGACCUAUCAGCUUUCGACGGUAAGGUAUUGGCUUACCGUGGCAGUGACGGUUAACGGGGGAUUAGGGUUCAAUUCCGGAGAGGGAGCCUGAGAAACGGCUACCACAUCUAAGGAAGGCAGCAGGCGCGCAAAUUACCCAAUUCUAACAGCAUAAGAGAGGUAGUGACAAGAAAUAACAGUACAAGGCAGUUAAAAUGCUUUGUAAUUGGAAUGAUAGAAAUUUAAAUACUUUUUAAAGUAUCAAUUGGAGGGCAAGUCUGGUGCCAGCAGCCGCGGUAAUUCCAGCUCCAAUAGCGUAUAUUAAAAUUGUUGCAGUUAAAAAGCUCGUAGUUGAAUUUUUGCUAAAAAUAACCGGUCUGCUUUUAUUAAUAAAAGUGGUAUCUUGGUGUGUUUUUAGCAAUAAUGUCCUUUGAAAUGUUUUUUACUUUAUUGUAAAAAGCAAUUUUCAGGAUUUUUACUUUGAGAAAAUUAGAGUGUUUCAAGCAGGCUAACGUUUUGAAUA
This 628-nucleotide ribosomal RNA is filed under the name Hepatozoon sp. CCS-2010. Its description in RNAcentral is "partial 18S ribosomal RNA". It matches the Rfam family "Eukaryotic small subunit ribosomal RNA", at positions 188 to 801 of the family's 1831-position model. The record is from RNAcentral. Lineage: Eukaryota; Apicomplexa; Hepatozoidae.